RNAcentral lists this ribosomal RNA (466 nucleotides) under Sanguirana aurantipunctata. Its description in RNAcentral is "partial 12S ribosomal RNA". It matches the Rfam family "Bacterial small subunit ribosomal RNA", at positions 868 to 1533 of the family's 1533-position model. Lineage: Eukaryota; Metazoa; Chordata; Amphibia; Anura; Ranidae. The record is from RNAcentral.
AGCGCCAGGGAAUUACGAGCAAUGCUUAAAACCCAAAGGAUUUGACGGUAUCCCAUCCACCUAGAGGAGCCUGUUCUAUAAUCGAUAACCCCCGCUACACCCAACCACCCCUAGCUUAUCAGCCUGUAUACCUCCGUCGAAAGCCUACCAUGUGAAUGUUUUCAGUAAGCCCAAUGACCCCCAUCAAAACGUCAGGUCAAGGUGCAGCUCACGGAGUGGAAAGCAAUGGGCUACAGUUUCUAAACUAGAACAUACGAAAAAUUAGGUGAAACCCUAGUCAUGAAGGCGGAUUUAGUAGUAAAAAGAAAAUAGAGUGUUCUUUUUAACUUGGCCCUGGGAUGUGUACACACCGCCCGUCACCCUCUUCGACUAUUAUCAAGACUGCUCCCUAACUCCAUCCCCACACCCCCUAGAAGAGGUAAGUCGUAACACGGUAAGUGUACUGGAAAGUGCACUUGGCUAAUAA